GAGGCCGGCCUCGGACACGUAGCGGGUGCUGCCGCUGAUCAGGUUCAAGGAGUACAUGUGCAAGUUUUCAAGUUUUUUACCUGGAUUUCUUCCAGAGCCAGUGUCACCAAAGUAUAUACUUAGAUGACAAACCAGGGGUUCCUGCCACAGUUUUGCCACUGUGCCUGCUCCUCAGCCACAUCAUUCCAUGUAGCCAUUUUAGCCAGGGCAUCAUUGACCAAGGUCUGACAAUUAUGAGAAGAAUAGAAGAUCCUGUGAAGCCAUUAUUAGCUCUUGACUCAAUGGCAACAGCCCUUUUUUCCAUUUGAACUAACGCAGUUGUAAAACCUUGGGCAAGUAGUUCAAUGUGCCUGGACCUCAGUUUCCCUCAACUAUGCAAUGCAAUUAAUAAAUCCUACCUCUCAAAAGCAGAUUGUUCUAAAUAUUUACUGAGAU
This 435-nucleotide long non-coding RNA is filed under the name Homo sapiens (human). Its description in RNAcentral is "HSALNT0281985". The record is from RNAcentral. Lineage: Eukaryota; Metazoa; Chordata; Mammalia; Primates; Hominidae.